This 336-nucleotide unclassified non-coding RNA is filed under the name soil metagenome. RNAcentral describes it as "partial contains 5.8S ribosomal RNA, internal transcribed spacer 2, and large subunit ribosomal RNA". The stretch from base 1 to 120 matches the Rfam family "5.8S ribosomal RNA", at positions 35 to 154 of the family's 154-position model. The record is from RNAcentral.
GAUGAAGAACGUAGCGAAAUGCGAUAAGUAAUGUGAAUUGAAGAAUUCAGUGAAUCAUCGAAUCUUUGAACGCACAUUGCGCCCGCCAGUAUUCUGGCGGGCAUGCCUGUUCGAGCGUCAUUUCAACCAUCAAGCCCCAGGCUUGUGUUGGGGACCUGCGGCUGCCGCAGGCCCUGAAAACCAGUGGCGGGCUCGCUGUCACACCGGGCGUAGUAGAUUUUAUCUCGCUCUGGGCGUGCUGCGGGUUCCGGCCGUUAAAAAACCCUUUUAACCCAAGGUUGACCUCGGAUCAGGUAGGAAUACCCGCUGAACUUAAGCAUAUCAAUAAGCGGAGGA